This 208-nucleotide ribosomal RNA is filed under the name uncultured bacterium. RNAcentral describes it as "partial 16S ribosomal RNA". It matches the Rfam family "Bacterial small subunit ribosomal RNA", at positions 568 to 774 of the family's 1533-position model. The record is from RNAcentral.
CACGCAGGCGGUAAGGCAAGUCUGGUGUGAAAGCCCCAUCACUCAACGAGGGGAGCGCACCGGAAACUGUUUUACUUGAGUACAGGAGAGGAAAACGGAAUUCCACGUGUAGCGGUGGAAUGCGGAGAUAUGUGGAAGAACACCGGUGGCGAAGGCGGUUUUCUGGCCUGAUACUGACGCUGAGGUGCGAAAGCCAGGGUAGCGAACG